GAUGAACGCUGGCGGCGUGCCUAAUACAUGCAAGUCGAACGCUGAAGGAGGAGCUUGCCCUUCUGGAUGAGUUGCGAACGGGUGAGUAACGCGUAGGUAACCUGCCUGGUAGCGGGGGAUAUCUAUUGGAAACGAUAGCUAAUACCGCAUGACAACAGUUAUUGCAUGUUAAUUGUUUAAAAGGGGCAACUGCUCCACUACCAGAUGGACCUGCGUCGUAUUAGCUAGUUGGUGAGGUAACGGCUCACCAAAGCGACGAUACAUAGCCGACCUGGAAGGGUGGUCCGCCACAAUGGGAACGGAGAACCGCCCAGGCUCCCUCGGGGAGCAGGCAGAGGGGAAUUUCGGCAAUGGGCGGAAGGCUGGACGAACAAAGGCGGGUGGGGGGAGGAAGGUUUUCGGACGGUAAACUCUGUUGAAUGGGAAGGAAGAGAGGUGGAGUGAAAAGUUCACGCUGUGACGGUAUCUAACCAGAAAGCGACGGCUAACUACGUG
Molecule: ribosomal RNA, 495 nt
Filed under: uncultured bacterium
Lineage: Bacteria
Description: partial 16S ribosomal RNA
Rfam family: Bacterial small subunit ribosomal RNA
Source: RNAcentral